AGUGAACGCUGGCGGUAGGCCUAACACAUGCAAGUCGAACGGCAGCACAGGAGAGCUUGCUCUCUGGGUGGCGAGUGGCGGACGGGUGAGGGAUACAUCGGAAUCUACUUUUUCGUGGGGGAUAACGUAGGGAAACUUACGCUAAUACCGCAUACGACCUACGGGUGAAAGCAGGGGACCUUCGGGCCUUGCGCGAUUGAAUGAGCCGAUGUCGGAUUAGCUAGUUGGCGGGGUAAAGGCCCACCAAGGCGACGAUCCGUAGCUGGUCUGAGAGGAUGAUCAGCCACACUGGAACUGAGACACGGUCCAGACUCCUACGGGAGGCAGCCGUGGGGAAUAUUGGACAAUGGGCGCAAGCCUGAUCCAGCCAUACCGCGUGGGUGAAGAAGGCCUUCGGGUUGUAAAGCCCUUUUGUUGGGAAAGAAAUCCAGCUGGCUAAUACCCGGUUGGGAUGACGGUACCCAAAGAAUAAGCACCGGCUAACUUCGUGCCAGCAGCCGCAGUAA
Molecule: ribosomal RNA, 506 nt
Filed under: uncultured bacterium
Lineage: Bacteria
Description: partial 16S ribosomal RNA
Rfam family: Bacterial small subunit ribosomal RNA
Source: RNAcentral